UAACACCUUGAAAGUUUAUAGCUCUAGAAAUUUUAGGUCUAGUCAAGUUUUUAUGCAAGUAAAUUAGCGAUGCCUAAAAGCUAAUUUGGAUCUAUAUGAAUAUCUUUAAAGUUGAGGAAACAAAGUGGAAACAAAUAUAAAUUUAUACUUUUAUUUAAUUAUGUCAAAAUGGUUAACUAUUGGUGGAGUUGAUUUUCCUAUCAAUAUUAGGCUCUUUUCGAACUUCAAAUUAAAUGAUGAAUUAUAAGCCAGUGAUAAUAACUACUUAGUAAAUAAAAUUAGUUAUCAAUUUAGACCAUAUUACUAUAACAAUAUCAAACUCAUUUGAUAGAUCAUAAUUAAUUUUAUGUAUAUUUAGAUAAAGUUAAUUUGGACUAAAUUACGUUAGAGCGAUCAAGAUUUGGGGAUUAAUUCAGUAGCAAUUAGGCUUGUCAUUAUCCAUAUCAUGAUUCCCUUAUUAUUUAGUUAUAGUAGGAUUUGGAGUUAGCCAUAAUUAGGCAAGAGCUUAUGUGAUAAGUCCUAGUGAAAUCAAAUUCCAUGGAAGCUUUCUGCUUUUGGUCAGUUUGGUUAAAAGAUGAUAAUGGCUACUUUUGUGGAAAUUAAAUAAGAGUUCUAUUAGUUAUUUAAACUGGUUGUUUGCAUUAAAAUAAAUUAAGCCUUAUAUCCAAUGCAAUUAGGAGUCCAACUUAUCUUAAUGUGUGCAUUAUGAUAACUUAAUCAGGAAUAAAUCAAUUCAAAGAAAUGUAUUUAAAAUGUAUUUUUAAUGCAUCUUUUAAUAUAAUUAGCAAAAAGGUUAUAAUAUUUUAUUAUAUAAUN
RNAcentral lists this long non-coding RNA (816 nucleotides) under Olea europaea (common olive). Its description in RNAcentral is "long non-coding RNA (OEUR_LNC011467)". Lineage: Eukaryota; Viridiplantae; Streptophyta; Magnoliopsida; Lamiales; Oleaceae. The record is from RNAcentral.